RNAcentral lists this ribosomal RNA (541 nucleotides) under Euphydryas cynthia. Its description in RNAcentral is "partial 16S ribosomal RNA". The stretch from base 403 to 541 matches the Rfam family "Archaeal large subunit ribosomal RNA", at positions 2542 to 2680 of the family's 2987-position model. The record is from RNAcentral. Lineage: Eukaryota; Metazoa; Arthropoda; Insecta; Lepidoptera; Nymphalidae.
UCAAAAACAUGUCUUUUUGAGGUUUAAUUUUAAAGUCUAAUCUGCCCACUGAUAUAAUUAUUAAAGGGCUGCAGUAUAUUGACUGUACAAAGGUAGCAUAAUCAUUAGUCUUUUAAUUGAAGACUUGUAUGAAGGAUUUGAUGAAAUAUAAACUGUCUCUGAUUUAUAAAUAGAAAUUAAUUUUUUAAUUAAAAAGUUAAAAUAUUGUUAAAAGACGAGAAGACCCUAUAGAGUUUUAUAAUUUAUUUAUUUAAUUAAUGAAGGUAUAUAUUUAAAUUUAAUAAAUGAUUAAAUUAUUUUGUUGGGGUGAUGAAAAAAUUUAAUAAACUUUUUUUAAUUUAAAACAUGAAUAAGUGAAAAAAUGAUCCAUUAUUAAUGAUUAAAAGAAAAAAUUACCUUAGGGAUAACAGCGUAAUAUUUUUUUUUAGUACGAAUAAAAAAGAAAGUUUGCGACCUCGAUGUUGGAUUAAGAUAAAAUUUAAAUGCAAAAGUUUAAAAUUUUUGAUCUGUUCGAUCAUUAAAAUCUUACAUGAUCUGAGCU